GACGAACGCUGGCGGCGUGCCUAAUACAUGCAAGUCGAACGAACCGCGACUAGGUGCUUGCACUUGGUCAAGGUGAGUGGCGAACGGGUGAGUAACACGUGGGUAACCUACCUCAUAGUGGGGGAUAACAGUCGGAAACGACUGCUAAUACCGCAUAGGACAUAGGAUCACAUGAUCCAGUGAGGAAAGGUGGCGCAAGCUAUCGCUAAGAGAUGGACCCGCGGUGCAUUAGCUAGUUGGUAGGGUAAAGGCCUACCAAGGCGAUGAUGCAUAGCCGACCUGAGAGGGUGAUCGGCCACAUUGGGACUGAGACACGGCCCAAACUCCUACGGGAGGCAGCAGUAGGGAAUCUUCCGCAAUGGACGCAAGUCUGACGGAGCAACGCCGCGUGAGUGAAGAAGGUCUUCGGAUUGUAAAGCUCUGUUGUUAGAGAAGAACAGCGCAUAGAGUAACUGUUAUGCGUGUGACGGUAUCUAACCAGAAAGCCACGGCUAACUACGUG
Molecule: ribosomal RNA, 502 nt
Filed under: uncultured bacterium
Lineage: Bacteria
Description: partial 16S ribosomal RNA
Rfam family: Bacterial small subunit ribosomal RNA
Source: RNAcentral